RNAcentral lists this transfer RNA (66 nucleotides) under Coquillettidia chrysonotum. Its description in RNAcentral is "tRNA-Leu". The record is from RNAcentral. Lineage: Eukaryota; Metazoa; Arthropoda; Insecta; Diptera; Culicidae.
ACUAUUUUGGCAGAUUAGUGCAUUAAAUUUAGAAUUUAUAUAUAUAAUAAAUUAUUAUAAAUAGUA